This 468-nucleotide ribosomal RNA is filed under the name uncultured bacterium. Its description in RNAcentral is "partial 16S ribosomal RNA". It matches the Rfam family "Bacterial small subunit ribosomal RNA", at positions 28 to 507 of the family's 1533-position model. The record is from RNAcentral.
GACGAACGCUGGCGGCGUGCUUAACACAUGCAAGUCGAACGGAAAGGCCCUGCUUUUGUGGGGUGCUCGAGUGGCGAAAGGGUGAGUAACACGUGAGUAACCUGCCCUUGACUUUGGGAUAACUUCAGGAAACUGGGGCUAAUACCGGAUAGGAGCUCCUGCUGCAUGGUGGGGGUUGGAAAGUUUCGGCGGUUGGGGAUGGACUCGCGGCUUAUCAGCUUGUUGGUGGGGUAGUGGCUUACCAAGGCUUUGACGGGUAGCCGGCCUGAGAGGGUGACCGGCCACAUUGGGACUGAGGUACGGCCCAGACUCCUACGGGAGGCAGGAGUGGGGAAUAUUGCACAAUGGGCGGAAGCCUGAUGCAGCAACGCCGCGUGCGGGAUGACGGCCUUCGGGUUGUAAACCGCUUUCGCCUGUGACGAAGCGUGAGUGACGGUAAUGGGUAAAGAAGCACCGGCUAACUACGUG